UACAGAGGGUGCGAGCGUUAAUCGGAAUUACUGGGCGUAAAGCGUGCGUAGACGGUAGCGUAAGUCGGGUGUGAAAGCCCCGGGCUCAACCUGGGAAUUGCAUUCGAGACUGCUCUGCUAGGGUGCGGAAGAGGGAAGCGGAAUUUCCGGUGUAGCGGUGAAAUGACGUAGAUAUCGGAAGGAACACCAGUGGCGAAAGCGGCUUCCUGGUCCAGCACCGACGUUCAGGCACGAAAGCGUGGGGAGCAAACAGG
RNAcentral lists this ribosomal RNA (254 nucleotides) under uncultured bacterium. RNAcentral describes it as "partial 16S ribosomal RNA". It matches the Rfam family "Bacterial small subunit ribosomal RNA", at positions 524 to 776 of the family's 1533-position model. The record is from RNAcentral.